AUACGAAGGGUGCAAGCGUUACUCGGAAUUACUGGGCGUAAAGCGUGCGUAGGUGGUUGUUUAAGUCUGUCGUGAAAGCCCUGGGCUCAACCUGGGAAUGGCGAUGGAAACUGGACGACUAGAGUGUGGCAGAGGGUAGUGGAAUUCCUGGUGUAGCAGUGAAAUGCGUAGAGAUCAGGAGGAACAUCCGUGGCGAAGGCGACUGCCUGGGCCAACACUGACACUGAGGCACGAAAGCGUGGGGAGCAAACAGGAUUAGAUUCCCUGGUAGUCCAUGCCCUAAACGAUGCGAACUGGAUGUUGGGUGCAAUUUGGCACGCAGUAUCGAAGCUAACGCGUUAAGUUCGCCGCCUGGGGAGUACGGUAGCAAGACUGAAACUCAAAUGAAUUGACG
RNAcentral lists this ribosomal RNA (394 nucleotides) under uncultured bacterium. RNAcentral describes it as "partial 16S ribosomal RNA". It matches the Rfam family "Bacterial small subunit ribosomal RNA", at positions 523 to 915 of the family's 1533-position model. The record is from RNAcentral.